GGUUCGGCUGCUCCGGCGCCGCGGGGGUGCCGCCCUGCUGGUGCGGGAAGGCCGGGGCCUGCUGCGGGCCGCUGUGCCACUCGGCGCCGUGCGGC
This 95-nucleotide transfer RNA is filed under the name Streptomyces griseoluteus. Its description in RNAcentral is "tRNA-Ser". Lineage: Bacteria; Bacillati; Actinomycetota; Actinomycetes; Kitasatosporales; Streptomycetaceae. The record is from RNAcentral.